GAUCAUGGCUCAGGACGAACGCUGGCGGCGCGCCUAACACAUGCAAGUCGAACGAGCGAGAGAGAGCUUGCUUUCUCGAGCGAGUGGCGAACGGGUGAGUAACGCGUGAGGAACCUGCCUCAAAGAGGGGGACAACAGUUGGAAACGACUGCUAAUACCGCAUAAGCCCACGGCUCGGCAUCGAGCAGAGGGAAAAGGAGUGAUCCGCUUUGAGAUGGCCUCGCGUCCGAUUAG
This 234-nucleotide ribosomal RNA is filed under the name uncultured bacterium. Its description in RNAcentral is "partial 16S ribosomal RNA". It matches the Rfam family "Bacterial small subunit ribosomal RNA", at positions 15 to 244 of the family's 1533-position model. The record is from RNAcentral.